RNAcentral lists this ribosomal RNA (439 nucleotides) under uncultured bacterium. RNAcentral's name for it is "partial 16S ribosomal RNA". It matches the Rfam family "Bacterial small subunit ribosomal RNA", at positions 339 to 795 of the family's 1533-position model. The record is from RNAcentral.
CUACGGGCCGCUCCAGUGGGGAAUUUUGCGCAAUGGGGGAAACCCUGACGCAGCAACGCCGCGUGCGGGACGACGGCCCUCGGGUUGUAAACCGCUUUCAGCAGGGAAGAAGAUGACGGUACCUGCAGAAGAAGCUCCGGCUAACUACGUGCCAGCAGCCGCGGUAAUACGUAGGGAGCGAGCGUUAUCCGGAUUCAUUGGGCGUAAAGCGCGCGUAGGCGGCGCGGUAAGUCGGGUGUCAAAGCCCGGGGCUCAACCCCGGCCCGCACCCGAAACUGCCGCGGCUUGAGUCUGGCAGGGGAAUGCGGAAUUCCAAGUGUAGCGGUGAAAUGCGCAGAUAUUUGGAAGAACACCGGUGGCGAAGGCGGCAUUCUGGGCCACGACUGACGCCGAGGCGCGAAAGCUAGGGGAGCGAACAGGAUUAGAUACCCCCGUAGUC